Molecule: ribosomal RNA, 700 nt
Filed under: uncultured bacterium
Lineage: Bacteria
Description: bacterial SSU rRNA
Rfam family: Bacterial small subunit ribosomal RNA
Source: RNAcentral
AGUGGCGGACGGGUGAGUAACACGUAAGAAUUUGCCUUUAGGAGGGGGACAACAACUAGAAAUGGUUGCUAAUACCCCAUAUGCUUUCGAGUGAAAUGGAUUUUUCCGCCUAGAGAGAAGCUUGCGGCUGAUUAGCUUGUUGGUGAGGUAAUGGCUCACCAAGGCGACGAUCAGUAUCUGGUUUGAGAGGACGAUCAGACACACUGGAACUGAGACACGGUCCAGACUCCUACGGGAGGCAGCAGUGGGGAAUUUUCCGCAAUGGGCGAAAGCCUGACGGAGCAAUACCGCGUGAGGGAUGACGGCCUAUGGGUUGUAAACCUCUUUUUUCAGGGAGGAAUCAAUGACGUGUACCUGAAGAAUAAGCAUCGGCUAACUCCGUGCCAGCAGCCGCGGUAAGACGGGGGAUGCAAGUGUUAUCCGGAAUCACUGGGCGUAAAGCGUCUGUAGGUGGUCCAAUAAGUCAACUGUUAAAUCUUGAGGCUCAACCUCAAAAUCGCAGUCGAAACUAUUAGACUAGAGUAUAGUAGGGGGUAAAGGGAAUUUCCAGUGGAGCGGUGAAAUGCGUAGAGAUUGGAAAGAACACCGAUGGCGAAGGCACUUUACUGGGCUAUUACUAACACUCAGAGACGAAAGCUAGGGUAGCAAAUGGGAUUAGAUACCCCAGUGGUCCUAGCCGUAAACAAUGGAUACUAGAUGU